UCCUCUGUAGUUCAGUCGGUAGAACGGCGGCCUGUGAAUCCGUAUGUCACUGGUUCGAGUCCAGUCAGAGGAGCCA
This 76-nucleotide transfer RNA is filed under the name Escherichia coli 2762100. Its description in RNAcentral is "tRNA-His". It matches the Rfam family "tRNA". From Rfam's summary of the family: Transfer RNA (tRNA) molecules are approximately 80 nucleotides in length. Their secondary structure includes four short double-helical elements and three loops (D, anti-codon, and T loops). The record is from RNAcentral. Lineage: Bacteria; Pseudomonadati; Pseudomonadota; Gammaproteobacteria; Enterobacterales; Enterobacteriaceae.